GCUUCAUAAACGAUGUCACAGCUUCAUUCUUCUGCUUAAAAUUGUUAAAACUUCUUAACAAUAAGUCAAUGAUAAGGGCCUGAUACAUUCAAGAUCACCUAAAAGGCUAAACCCAGAAGCCUGACCUAAGCUACUAAGGACCUGAUACGACCAAUAGCGACCAUAGUUGAACAUGACAGAUGCCACUCACCUCAAAAAAUAUGGUUUAAGAGAUCAUAAGUACACCAAAUAGCAAAAGAAAUAACGGGAAAUACAGAAAGAAGGCUUUGAGA
Molecule: long non-coding RNA, 272 nt
Filed under: Elaeis guineensis (African oil palm)
Lineage: Eukaryota; Viridiplantae; Streptophyta; Magnoliopsida; Arecales; Arecaceae
Description: long non-coding RNA (EGUI_LNC007351)
Source: RNAcentral